This 235-nucleotide ribosomal RNA is filed under the name uncultured bacterium. RNAcentral's name for it is "partial 16S ribosomal RNA". It matches the Rfam family "Bacterial small subunit ribosomal RNA", at positions 96 to 334 of the family's 1533-position model. The record is from RNAcentral.
UGGCGGACGGGUGAGUAAUGCCUGGGAAACUGCCCGAUGGAGGGGGAUAACUACUGGAAACGGUAGCUAAUACCGCAUAACGUCGCAAGACCAAAGAGGGGGACCUUAGGGCCUCUUGCCAUCGGAUGUGCCCAGAUGGGAUUAGCUAGUAGGUGGGGUAACGGCUCACCUAGGCGACGAUCCCUAGCUGGUCUGAGAGGAUGACCAGCCACACUGGAACUGAGACACGGUCCAG